This 176-nucleotide ribosomal RNA is filed under the name Ramularia phacae-frigidae. Its description in RNAcentral is "partial 18S ribosomal RNA". It matches the Rfam family "Eukaryotic small subunit ribosomal RNA", at positions 1658 to 1831 of the family's 1831-position model. Lineage: Eukaryota; Fungi; Ascomycota; Dothideomycetes; Mycosphaerellales; Mycosphaerellaceae. The record is from RNAcentral. RNAcentral also lists the same sequence under 10 other names.
CUUUGUACACACCGCCCGUCGCUACUACCGAUUGAAUGGCUCAGUGAGGCCUUCGGACUGGCUCAGGGAGGUCGGCAACGACCACCCAGAGCCGGAAAGUUGGUCAAACUCGGUCAUUUAGAGGAAGUAAAAGUCGUAACAAGGUCUCCGUAGGUGAACCUGCGGAGGGAUCAUUA